This is a long non-coding RNA of Parus major (Great Tit), 1432 nucleotides long. RefSeq lists it as uncharacterized. NCBI's taxonomy places the organism in Eukaryota, Metazoa, Chordata, Aves, Passeriformes, Paridae. The transcript has 2 exons. The record is from RefSeq and is a predicted model, not a curated record.
CACCUGUUGCUACUUGCAGGGGAGUAAUCCAGGUGUCUGGGUGCUUUUCCAGGCCCUCAGAAGCCUGACCAGCUGUACCAUUCUCCACCACUAAACAUGGGACUUGCUGAUUCUUUUCCAUAACUCUGUCCCUUCCUGCCAGAUCAUUUCCUGGGCUUUGCUCCUUGUGUCAUCUCCAGGUGUUUGGCUUAUCACAGCAUGCUAGGUUCCUCUCCUACUCCUGCCCCAUCUUCCAGUGCGAUCCACUGACCCAUUCCAUGGGAAACACAGAGCCCUGGUCCCGCUGGUGCUACUUGCUCCAACCAGCCUCCCCAGGGGCAUGUGGAGCCGUAGCUUCAGCCAGCUCUGUCCUCACAGAUCCAGGUGAAGCAGUGGGACCAACCCAGCUGUUGGCUUUGCUGGGAAUCUGCUCGUGGCCUAGGUGAGCCUGACUGACCCGGCGGGCUUGGAAUGAGCCUGGGUCACCAAGGACUGGGGAGAGGGGCUGUGAGAGGGGCCAGCAUCGAUCGCUCACUGCUGGCCGGAGAGCAAGCAGAACCAAAUCCCGCUCUGGGACAGCGCAAGCAGAACCACAUCCCGCUCUGGGACAGCAGCUGAUGCCCUUGCGGAAGGACUUCCCUGGGUAGCAGCUGCCACAGCCCCGUGAUCGCGGCCGUGAGCCCGCGGCGCUGGCUGGCCCGGACACCUGCAGCACGCUCCGGUUCGCCAGCCAAGUCUGGUACAUCCUGCUGCCAGUGAGGAUCGGGCGGGAGGGAGGCAGGGAGCUGCCCGGGAGCUGCUGAGUUGGAGGCAGGACGGUGCGUGGCGGGAUGGAUUGGUGUUGCAGUCAGCAACCUCAGGAUCUCGUCCAGGGAAGCAGCAGGAUUCUGGGGACCAGCAUCAAACACCAACAAGACGGGCUCCCGGUUCAUGAAAACAUUUAUUCAGGAUGGGAACAAACCCAGGUCCAGAACAGAGAGCUCCGAACAGAGGCACAGCAGGGGUUUUUGCGGGACAGAACUCUUAAGGGUUUCCACCUUUGAGGGUGGAGUUCAGGGUCAGGGACCAAGGGAGAAUCCCCCAGGGACUCAAACCCAAUCAGAGCACCUGGGCCGCCUUUCACAAGGGGUUUGGGGUGGGACAAUGUUAACUCUUUGUCUCCCUGAGGCACACUGCCACAGAUUGGUGGGUGCUCCCGUAUGCCACUGGAAUUUCCCAGCCUUGGGUGUGCCGCUAUGGUCAGAAGCAGCUGACUGAACUCCGGCACCGUGUGCCCAGGAAGAACCAGAUGUGCAAGAACUGCAGCUCCACGUGCCGGGAAAAGGAACUGAGUGAUGAAGCAUUUGCUGCAUCUGAACACUGCGGUCCAUCUUGCCCCCUCUUUUCCUCCUCCUCCUUCCCCUUUUUCUCAUUACCGUCAUUCCAAAUGCACAUUUCUCAGAGGAUAACCAGG